Molecule: ribosomal RNA, 253 nt
Filed under: uncultured bacterium
Lineage: Bacteria
Description: partial 16S ribosomal RNA
Rfam family: Bacterial small subunit ribosomal RNA
Source: RNAcentral
UACGAAGGGGGCUAGCGUUGUUCGGAAUUACUGGGCGUAAAGCGCACGUAGGCGGACUAUUAAGUCAGGGGUGAAAUCCCGGAGCUCAACUCCGGAACUGCCUUUGAUACUGGAGAUCUUGAGUCCGGGAGAGGUGAGUGGAACUCCGAGUGUAGAGGUGAAAUUCGUAGAUAUUCGGAAGAACACCAGUGGCGAAGGCGGCUCACUGGCCCGGUACUGACGCUGAGGUGCGAAAGCGUGGGGAGCAAACAGG